CACCCUCCUUUCCGUGUUUUUGAGCCGGUUGCUUCGGCGGGCCCGCUAUUUGUGGCGGGGGGGUGGGCCCCUCGGCGCCCCGGAUCGGAGGGGACCGAAUCCAUUAUCAAGUACUCUGUCUGAAAGCGGUUGUCUGAGUUGAUUUUUUGCAAACAGUUAUGACUUUCAACAAUGGAUCUCUUGGUUCGGGCAUCCACGAAUAAAGCAGCGGGAUGCCAUAACUAAUGUGAAUUGAGAAUUCAGUGAAUCAUCCGUCUUUCCCGCACAUUGCGCCCCCUGGAAUUACGGGGGGCAUGACUGUGCGAACGUCAUUGCUGCCCUCGAGCCCGGUUUGUGUGUUGGGUCGCCGUCCCCCCUCUCCGGGGGGACGGGCCCGAAAGGAAGCGGCGGCACCGCAUCCGAUCCUCGAGCGUAUGGGGCUUUGUCACAUGCUCUGAAGGAUUGGCCGGCGCCUGCCGACGUUUUCAAACUAUUCUUUCAGGUUGACCUCGAAUCAGUAAGGAAUCCCCGCUGAACUUAACCUAUAUCAACAAGCGAAAGAAA
RNAcentral lists this ribosomal RNA (543 nucleotides) under Aspergillus brasiliensis. Its description in RNAcentral is "eukaryotic LSU rRNA". The stretch from base 161 to 311 matches the Rfam family "5.8S ribosomal RNA". The record is from RNAcentral. Lineage: Eukaryota; Fungi; Ascomycota; Eurotiomycetes; Eurotiales; Aspergillaceae.